RNAcentral lists this ribosomal RNA (2650 nucleotides) under Klebsiella pneumoniae. Its description in RNAcentral is "partial 23S ribosomal RNA". It matches the Rfam family "Bacterial large subunit ribosomal RNA". Lineage: Bacteria; Pseudomonadati; Pseudomonadota; Gammaproteobacteria; Enterobacterales; Enterobacteriaceae. The record is from RNAcentral.
CACUAUCGUUAACUGAAUACAUAGGUUAACGAGGCGAACCGGGGGAACUGAAACAUCUAAGUACCCCGAGGAAAAGAAAUCAACCGAGAUUCCCCCAGUAGCGGCGAGCGAACGGGGAGCAGCCCAGAGUCUGAAUCAGCUUGUGUGUUAGUGGAACGGUCUGGAAAGUCCGACGGUACAGGGUGAUAGUCCCGUACACCAAAAUGCACAGGUUGUGAACUCGAAGAGUAGGGCGGGACACGUGGUAUCCUGUCUGAAUAUGGGGGGACCAUCCUCCAAGGCUAAAUACUCCUGACUGACCGAUAGUGAACCAGUACCGUGAGGGAAAGGCGAAAAGAACCCCGGCGAGGGGAGUGAAAAAGAACCUGAAACCGUGUACGUACAAGCAGUGGGAGCACCUUCGGGUGUGACUGCGUACCUUUUGUAUAAUGGGUCAGCGACUUAUAUUCUGUAGCAAGGUUAACCGUAUAGGGGAGCCGCAGGGAAACCGAGUCUUAACUGGGCGUUAAGUUGCAGGGUAUAGACCCGAAACCCGGUGAUCUAGCCAUGGGCAGGUUGAAGGUUGGGUAACACUAACUGGAGGACCGAACCGACUAAUGUUGAAAAAUUAGCGGAUGACUUGUGGCUGGGGGUGAAAGGCCAAUCAAACCGGGAGAUAGCUGGUUCUCCCCGAAAGCUAUUUAGGUAGCGCCUCGUGAAUUCAUCUUCGGGGGUAGAGCACUGUUUCGGCUAGGGGGUCAUCCCGACUUACCAACCCGAUGCAAACUACGAAUACCGAAGAAUGUUAUCACGGGAGACACACGGCGGGUGCUAACGUCCGUCGUGAAGAGGGAAACAACCCAGACCGCCAGCUAAGGUCCCAAAGUCAUGGUUAAGUGGGAAACGAUGUGGGAAGGCACAGACAGCCAGGAUGUUGGCUUAGAAGCAGCCAUCAUUUAAAGAAAGCGUAAUAGCUCACUGGUCGAGUCGGCCUGCGCGGAAGAUGUAACGGGGCUAAACCAUGCACCGAAGCUGCGGCAGCGACACUAUGUGUUGUUGGGUAGGGGAGCGUUCUGUAAGCCUGCGAAGGUGUGCUGUGAGGCAUGCUGGAGGUAUCAGAAGUGCGAAUGCUGACAUAAGUAACGAUAAAGCGGGUGAAAAGCCCGCUCGCCGGAAGACCAAGGGUUCCUGUCCAACGUUAAUCGGGGCAGGGUGAGUCGACCCCUAAGGCGAGGCCGAAAGGCGUAGUCGAUGGGAAACAGGUUAAUAUUCCUGUACUUGGUGUUACUGCGAAGGGGGGACGGAGAAGGCUAUGUUAGCCGGGCGACGGUUGUCCCGGUUUAAGCAUGUAGGCUGGUUGUCCAGGCAAAUCCGGAUAAUCAAGGCUGAGGUGUGAUGACGAGGCACUACGGUGCUGAAGUAACAAAUGCCCUGCUUCCAGGAAAAGCCUCUAAGCAUCAGGUAACAUCAAAUCGUACCCCAAACCGACACAGGUGGUCAGGUAGAGAAUACCAAGGCGCUUGAGAGAACUCGGGUGAAGGAACUAGGCAAAAUGGUGCCGUAACUUCGGGAGAAGGCACGCUGGUGUGUAGGUGAAGUCCCUGCGGAUGGAGCUGAGACCAGUCGAAGAUACCAGCUGGCUGCAACUGUUUAUUAAAAACACAGCACUGUGCAAACACGAAAGUGGACGUAUACGGUGUGACGCCUGCCCGGUGCCGGAAGGUUAAUUGAUGGGGUUAUCCGUAAGGAGAAGCUCUUGAUCGAAGCCCCGGUAAACGGCGGCCGUAACUAUAACGGUCCUAAGGUAGCGAAAUUCCUUGUCGGGUAAGUUCCGACCUGCACGAAUGGCGUAAUGAUGGCCAGGCUGUCUCCACCCGAGACUCAGUGAAAUUGAACUCGCUGUGAAGAUGCAGUGUACCCGCGGCAAGACGGAAAGACCCCGUGAACCUUUACUAUAGCUUGACACUGAACAUUGAGCCUUGAUGUGUAGGAUAGGUGGGAGGCUUUGAAGCGUGGACGCCAGUCUGCGUGGAGCCAACCUUGAAAUACCACCCUUUAAUGUUUGAUGUUCUAACGUUGGCCCCUGACCGGGGUUGCGGACAGUGUCUGGUGGGUAGUUUGACUGGGGCGGUCUCCUCCCAAAGCGUAACGGAGGAGCACGAAGGUUAGCUAAUCCUGGUCGGACAUCAGGAGGUUAGUGCAAUGGCAUAAGCUAGCUUGACUGCGAGCGUGACGGCGCGAGCAGGUGCGAAAGCAGGUCAUAGUGAUCCGGUGGUUCUGAAUGGAAGGGCCAUCGCUCAACGGAUAAAAGGUACUCCGGGGAUAACAGGCUGAUACCGCCCAAGAGUUCAUAUCGACGGCGGUGUUUGGCACCUCGAUGUCGGCUCAUCACAUCCUGGGGCUGAAGUAGGUCCCAAGGGUAUGGCUGUUCGCCAUUUAAAGUGGUACGCGAGCUGGGUUUAGAACGUCGUGAGACAGUUCGGUCCCUAUCUGCCGUGGGCGCUGGAGAAUUGAGGGGGGCUGCUCCUAGUACGAGAGGACCGGAGUGGACGCAUCACUGGUGUUCGGGUUGUCAUGCCAAUGGCACUGCCCGGUAGCUAAAUGCGGAAGAGAUAAGUGCUGAAAGCAUCUAAGCACGAAACUUGCCCCGAGAUGAGUUCUCCCUGAGACU